CGCGUAGGCGGACUGGUAAGUCGGGUGUGAAAACUGGCAGCUUAACUGCCAGCCUGCACUCGAUACUGUCAGUCUUGAGUACAGGAGAGGAAAGUGGAAUUCCAGGUGUAGCGGUGAAAUGCGUAGAUAUCUGGAAGAACACCAGUAGCGAAGGCGGCUUUCUGGACUGAUACUGACGCUAAAGCGCGAAGGCUUGGGGAGCAAACA
RNAcentral lists this ribosomal RNA (207 nucleotides) under uncultured bacterium. RNAcentral's name for it is "partial 16S ribosomal RNA". It matches the Rfam family "Bacterial small subunit ribosomal RNA", at positions 568 to 774 of the family's 1533-position model. The record is from RNAcentral.